GCUACAAGUAGUCAAGUUUCUUCCUUAAGGAGACCUGAAGAGGAUGACAUGGCUUUCUUUGAAAGACAAUACCAGGAAAGGAUAAAAUUGGAAAGGGCUGCUAAGAAGAAAGGAAAAGCUCCUUUGCCAUCAACGACAAAACCUUCAUGAAGACUGUUGGAGAAUUAAAGCCGUCAGCCAAAUGUGUCUUUUUCAUGUUUAUUUAAAUGUAAUAAUACAGUUUAUUAUUUCACACACUAUUUACUUUUUACUGUAUGAAUUUCUUUUGAUUGUUUCCUUAAUUUAUUUGAAUAAGUAAAAUGCCUUCAAAAUUUA
Long non-coding RNA from Carlito syrichta (Philippine tarsier), 315 nucleotides. RefSeq lists it as uncharacterized. NCBI's taxonomy places the organism in Eukaryota, Metazoa, Chordata, Mammalia, Primates, Tarsiidae. The transcript has 2 exons. The record is from RefSeq and is a predicted model, not a curated record.